This 73-nucleotide transfer RNA is filed under the name Camelus bactrianus (Bactrian camel). It matches the Rfam family "tRNA". Rfam says of the family: Transfer RNA (tRNA) molecules are approximately 80 nucleotides in length. The record is from Rfam by way of RNAcentral. Lineage: Eukaryota; Metazoa; Chordata; Mammalia; Artiodactyla; Camelidae. RNAcentral also lists the same sequence under 2 other names.
GAGGGUAUAGCUCAAGUGGCAGAGAGCAUGCUUAGCAUGCACAAGGUCCUUGGUUCAAUCCCUAGUAUCAUCU